CACGUAGGCGGACUCUUAAGUCGGUGGUGAAAUCCUGGAGCUCAACUCCAGAACUGCCUUCGAUACUGAGAGUCUCGAGUCCGGGAGAGGUGAGUGGAACUGCGAGUGUAGAGGUGAAAUUCGUAGAUAUUCGCAAGAACACCAGUGGCGAAGGCGGCUCACUGGCCCGGUACUGACGCUGAGGUGCGAAAGCGUGGGGAGCAACA
Molecule: ribosomal RNA, 206 nt
Filed under: uncultured bacterium
Lineage: Bacteria
Description: partial 16S ribosomal RNA
Rfam family: Bacterial small subunit ribosomal RNA
Source: RNAcentral